RNAcentral lists this long non-coding RNA (298 nucleotides) under Hordeum vulgare. RNAcentral describes it as "long non-coding RNA (HVUL_LNC000929)". Lineage: Eukaryota; Viridiplantae; Streptophyta; Magnoliopsida; Poales; Poaceae. The record is from RNAcentral.
UUUUGUUUUUUCCUCUUAUUCGUCUCUUCCUCUCCUAUUUUUCUUCUUCUUCUUCUUCUUCUUUCUUCUCCGUCCCUUCCUUUUCCUUCUUAUUCUUAUUUUUUUCUUCUCCUUUCUCCUUCUUGUGCUUCUUCUUUCUCCUUCUUCUUCUUCCCCUUCUUCUUUCUGCUCCUUCCCAUCCUUUUCCUUCUUCUUCUCCUUCCCUUCCUUUUCCUUCUUUUUCUUCUUCUUCUUUCUUCUCCUUCCCUUCCUUUUCCUUUUAACCCCCCUGUUCAUGCGCAACCACAACAUAAGCCCC